CUAAUUAUAGUGUUAAGUUCACUCCACUCUGAAGUUUGUUAAUACUUAAUACUCAUGAGGUUGUGGAAUUAUGUUUUGUGCAGGAUUUAAGUGAUGAGAAACCUUUAUCAUGGAGCCACUUUAUUGCUGAAGGUGAUGUAGAGUUCAAGGCAGUCCUGUUUGUGCCACCUAAGGCUCCUCAUGAUUUAUAUGAGAGUUACUACAACUCAAACAAAUCCAACCUGAAGCUGUAUGUUAGACGUGUAUUUAUUUCAGAUGAAUUUGAUGAACUGUUGCCUAAAUACCUCAACUUUUUGAAGGUAACUAUGGGUGUGCUUUGUUAUCGCAAAUAAGUUUAUUUUGUGAGGAUCAGAAUAAUUUUCCUUACUGAAAGUUCUUUUUUGACAUUGGGAGCAGGGUCUUGUAGAUUCUGACACAUUGCCACUUAAUGUAUCACGAGAAAUGCUUCAACAACACAGUAGUUUAAAGACAAUCAAGAAGAAACUUAUUAGGAAAGCCCUUGAUAUGAUCCGUAGGAUUGCUGAAGAGGAUCCUGAUGAGUCCUCUGACAAAGAAAAGAAAGGUAUGAUGUAAUGAAUCUUUUGGUUCCAUUUGCCGUAAUCCCAAUUCUUUUUUAGUGGUUAAGGUUGUCCAAAUCUUGUAUACCUGUCCUAAAAAUGUUGGAUUGGUUGUUAUUUUGUUUUUUGUUUAUGUCUAAUUUGGCUUUGUCAUCUCUUUUCAAAUGUAAGUUCAGAGUCUUUUUCUCAAUUCUAUUCAAUAACUUUGCACUUCUACUUAUGUUAAAUUGUGAUGCAGAAGAGUUGUCCUCUGGCAAUGAUGAAAAGAGAGGUCAAUAUGCUAAGUUCUGGAAUGAGUUUGGGAAGUCCAUUAAGCUUGGUAUCAUUGAGGAUGCCACCAACAGAAAUCGGUUGGCAAAACUACUCAGAUUUGAGAGGUACGUCACUUGUUUUCUUGUGAAUAAUUCUUGUGGCAGUGUUAUUUCCCUACUUAUAUUAGUUGACAAUUUAUAUGAAGCUCGAAUCUCUUGCAGCACCAAGUCAGAUGGUAAAUUGGCUUCUCUUGAUCAGUACAUAUCUAGGAUGAAAGCUGGACAGAAAGAUAUCUUUUACAUAACUGGAACCAACAAAGAACAGCUAGAAAAAUCUCCAUUCCUUGAGCGGCUUAAGAAGAAAAAUUUUGAGGUGCAAUUAAAUCUUGUUUUUAAGCAAAUUCUAUUGGCUCGAAUGUAGUAUUUAUAUGUUUUGACUCUUCAUAAUUAGAAAACGUCUAUGCUUUCUUUAUAUUUUGAAAACUUCUGUUCUGUAGAGAAGGAAUGAUGAUUUCAUAUUUUUGAGUGUAUCUGCUUUUCAAACCACUCCAGGUUAUUUACUUCACUGAUCCAGUUGAUGAAUACUUGAUGCAAUACUUGAUGGAUUAUGAAGAUAAGAAGUUCCAGAAUGUGUCCAAGGAGGGUUUGAAACUUGGAAAGGACGCAAAGGACAAGGGACUGAAGGAGUCCUUCAAGGAUCUUACGAAGUGGUGGAAAAAUACCCUUGCCAGUGAGAAUGUUGAUGAUGUGAAGAUAUGAGCAUUUGAAGAAAUAAAAAAGAAGAUUGCAUUCUACCUAAAAUAUUAAUUAUAGUCAAUCAUGCACUUGGUAUUAAUGACAAUUUGCUCCACGAUUAGGCAUUGGACAAGAUUAGGUUCCUCUCCCUCACAGAUAAGGAGGUUUUGGGUGAAGGUGAUAAUGCCAAGCUUGAAAUCCAGGUAAGUACUUCUUAAUUUUCAAUUCAAUUUAAUAAUAUGCACAUGUUUUCCUUUUAUUUGUCUUUACGGUGGCAGUGUAACCACUGCUGAUAUCUUGAAUUUGCUUGUUGACUUACUGUAUUCGUGGUUUAUUUUGCACCUAAAACAUGAUGCUGCUGCAGAUUAAGUUGGACAAGGAAAAGAAAAUCCUGUCGAUUCGAGACAGAGGUAUUGGAAUGACAAAGGAGGAUUUAAUUAAGAAUCUGGGAACUAUAGCAAAAUCUGGAACUUCAGGUCUUUAUCUUGUACUCACUGUCUUGUUUGAAAGAAUCUUCAUUUGUAUUAAGGUGCGAAAGAUGUUAACUGAAACCAUCUAUUUGUACAGCAUUUGUUGAGAAAAUGCAGACAAGUGGGGAUCUCAAUCUCAUUGGGCAGUUUGGAGUUGGUUUCUACUCUGUUUAUCUUGUGGCUGACUAUGUUGAAGUCAUUAGCAAGCAUAACGAAGACAAACAGUAAGUCACUUACCCUUGAUAUUGAUUCUCUUAUCAUUAUUGCACAUGAUGUUUUCUAGAAAUCUGCCCCAGCAUGCUGAUUCAAAAAUUGUUUGACUCAGAUAUGUGUGGGAAUCAAAAGCUGAUGGAGCAUUUGCAAUUUCAGAAGAUACAUGGAAUGAGCCACUAGGACGUGGAACUGAGAUUAGAUUACACCUCAAAGAUGAGGCUGGGGAGUACUUAGAGGAGUCUAAGCUGAAAGUAUGCACUAAAUCAUUACCUUAAUUAUUAUCCACAAUAUGUGUUGUGUUUCUACUGCGGGUGAUUCUACCUGUGUGCUUUGCUUAUGAUUGAAAAUAUAGGACUUAAUAGCAAAGUUUGUUUUACCACAUAGUUUCUCUGUACAUUCAUGUUGUGCUUCUGACCCUUCGUUUUUUAGUGAUACACAUGCUAUUGGUUUUCAUUCAGCAUAUAUACAACAUUAAGUAAGUAGUAGCUAGUAGGGCUUCUGUGGAGUGCUACACCUACAGCUCAAAAUAAAUGUAUGUUUACAUUGGGUUAUGAUUUGCUAGCGUAAAUCUUAAUGUGCAUCUAAUGGUUAAAAAAAUAUGAACCCCUUCUACUCUUUAUAUAAUUGCCCUAUUCUGUAUCAUCCAAAUUUCUUAAAUGGCCAGCAACUUGCCAUCUCUGUCAGUAUGCAUUCUAUUUUUUCUCCCUAUUUUACAUUUAAAAGAGUCAUAACCUUCUUCUGAAGUCGGCUCCCUUGAUGUUUCACUAGAGGCUGUUUGAGGUUUGUUUAGUCACUUGUGCCACAAUGUUCUGCUAAAUUUGAUCCAAUAACUACUCCUUUUCAGGAAUUGGUGAAGAGAUACUCUGAGUUUAUUAACUUCCCUAUCUAUAUUUGGGCAAGCAAAGAGGUUGAUGUGGAGGUUCCUUCUGAUGAAGAUGAUUCUAAUGAUGAAGACGAAUCAUGUAUGUAUAAUUUUAGAACUCAGCUGUGUGAUUUUCUAUUUUUAUCCCAUGUUUCAAUGACGUUUUAGUUUGUCUUUCUUACCUUCUGUCACUCCUUAAACAGCUGAAAGCAUCUCCUCCGACGAAGAAACUGAAGAAGAUGCCGACAAAAGUGAAGAUGAAGAAAAGAAGCCCAAAACAAAGAAGGUGAAGGAAACGACUUAUGAAUGGGAACUUUUAAAUGAUGUGAAGGCUAUAUGGCUGCGGAACCCAAAGGAGGUUACAGAUGAGGAGUAUACCAAAUUCUACCACUCUCUUGCCAAGGUAAUAUUGUCACCUUCAUUAUCUAUGAGAAGCUUUAAGCUAAUUAUAGUGUUAAGUUCACUCCACUCUGAAGUUUGUUAAUACUUAAUACUCAUGAGGUUGUGGAAUUAUGUUUUGUGCAGGAUUUAAGUGAUGAGAAACCUUUAUCAUGGAGCCACUUUAUUGCUGAAGGUGAUGUAGAGUUCAAGGCAGUCCUGUUUGUGCCACCUAAGGCUCCUCAUGAUUUAUAUGAGAGUUACUACAACUCAAACAAAUCCAACCUGAAGCUGUAUGUUAGACGUGUAUUUAUUUCAGAUGAAUUUGAUGAACUGUUGCCUAAAUACCUCAACUUUUUGAAGGUAACUAUGGGUGUGCUUUGUUAUCGCAAAUAAGUUUAUUUUGUGAGGAUCAGAAUAAUUUUCCUUACUGAAAGUUCUUUUUUGACAUUGGGAG
Molecule: long non-coding RNA, 3923 nt
Filed under: Lupinus angustifolius (narrow-leaved blue lupine)
Lineage: Eukaryota; Viridiplantae; Streptophyta; Magnoliopsida; Fabales; Fabaceae
Description: long non-coding RNA (LANG_LNC001237)
Source: RNAcentral